This 253-nucleotide ribosomal RNA is filed under the name uncultured bacterium. Its description in RNAcentral is "partial 16S ribosomal RNA". It matches the Rfam family "Bacterial small subunit ribosomal RNA", at positions 524 to 776 of the family's 1533-position model. The record is from RNAcentral.
UACGUAGGGGGCAAGCGUUGUCCGGAAUUAUUGGGUGUAAAGAGCGUGUAGGCGGCCAGAUAAGUCCGCUGUGAAAUCUCGAGGCUCAACUUCGAGCUGUCGGUGGAAACUAUUCGGCUAGAGUCCGGAAGAGGAGAGUGGAAUUCCUGGUGUAGCGGUGAAAUGCGCAGAUAUCAGGAAGAACACCUAUGGCGAAAGCAGCUCUCUGGGACGGUACUGACGCUGAGACGCGAAAGCGUGGGGAGCGAACAGG